Oryctolagus cuniculus (rabbit) is the source of this 21304-nucleotide non-coding RNA. The record is from RefSeq and is a predicted model, not a curated record. NCBI's taxonomy places the organism in Eukaryota, Metazoa, Chordata, Mammalia, Lagomorpha, Leporidae.
UUCAAUGAGAAAGUGAUCAUAACUGCAAGAGAAACAGGGACACUUGGAGGAGGCUCAAGCCGAGCCCAUUUCUUAAUCCUCACUGGGAGAGGGUUAACAACCAUUGGACAGAUUCCGUAAACCAGCAAAUCAGCGGUUCCACUGCAAAUGAGCAAAAAGAGGCCUGUCACCUGCCCCAAGGCCAGGGCGAGUCUGGGAGGUGGAACCCUGCCAAAGGCAGCUGUGACCCGGGAUUCUGGGUUGGCCCUGCUCCCUUCCCAGGCUCUGUCUGGGCAGUGAGGGAUGGCGGGAAGUUGGCUCAGGAGAACACUGGAGGUCCCCAAAUUGGGGCUGGAGCCUGCUGAGGGGCAGUCCUACUUAGAGCGUUUGGAGGAAAGCUUCCUCAUGGAUGACCUGCGGCUGCUGCCCCACGGUCAGGGUGAUGUUCGCCUGUCACAAACAGGUCAUCCAGCUUGCCCCAUGACCCCAGCGGUCUGUGCGGGGAACCUAGGCCAUCUGCUCAGCCAUUCAUGAAAGCACCGACGUUGUCUGUGCGUCCGUGGGCCACACUCUUGUCCCGCAGACCACAGUGGUCACCCGGCCCUGUGGUGAUGGAGAUGGCCGGCUCUUUCACUGAGUGGCUCACUGUCAUUUUUCCACACCAGCAGCUGACGGCUUGAGAGCAGUGGGUACAGUGAUGCUGCACUUGGUGCGUGGAGAAGACUUGCAUCAGCCCUCUCCCCCUUCUCGCCCCCUGGCCUCCCGGGAUUCACGGUCCUCCAUGCCCCGCCCCCUGACCCGGAUCUGCUGCAUCGGUUUCCUUCCGGGUCAAGAUGGCUCCCGGGCUAGCCUGCGCCCAGCCCGGCUUCCUCCCCGGGGCUGCAGUGGGCCUGAGAAGCUAUGCAGCCACAUCCCAUCGGCCAGGAAGUGCAGACACGAAGAUGACCGAGGAUCCCAAACUUUUUUUUUUUAACCUUCUCCCAGGGAGGAUUAUAAAAUGGGAUCAACUUGCAAUUUUGGAUUUUACCGUGGCACAAAAGUGAUAUGUGUUUGAAUUUUGAUCUUAUCCUGAGCUAGUGGAAUGCAGUCUAAUACUCUCUCGGGAUGCUGGGCAGUGACCGCAGCCGCAACAGCUACAGGGACUAACAGCUGACUCUGCAGUGUGCCGGGUUGUUGAACGACGAUAUUAGCUGCCUCGGGUGCUUCUCGCCUAGGUGAUGGCAGUCCGUGUGUCCUCAUGACGGCCCAGCUGCAAAGGACUCCUUCCUGGCUUCCCACCCGAAGAAGCCAUUCUCUACUACACUUGCCGCUCACCUUACUUAUCGGGACCUGAAACUGUCUCGUUAUUUGCUUUUGUUGGAAAAUUCCAAUGUAGCAGCUGCCUCUUCUCUUGGGUUCUUUGCUGUCUCCUGCACCUGACACAGGGCUUGGUAUAUGGAGGCACCCACUAAAUGUCUGCUGGUUGGACGUGUGGGUGUCUGGUGUGGGUCUCUUGCAUUAUAACCUAGUUUUGGGGGAAAAUAAAGAACAUGGAGAAAGGAAUAUGGUAGCCCGGUGACUGUGGCCCCGCCCCUACCUGCCUUCCCACAUAGUAUGGCUGCUAGGGUUCUGCCUGGCUUGUGGUGUGUAGCAAAGGGGUUUGCACUCUCCCCUGCUCCCUGUCUUCCGCACCCUUGGUUGCCUCAUGGGAAGACAACAUGGGGACUUGGGCAAUGCUUUUCACUCUCGGGAUUCCAGAGAGUUGUUAUACCGGUCAGUUGUUCAUGCAUCUGGAACACCCUUGGCUUGUAUGAGUUAUUCCCUUGGGACUGGCUGGCAUGUGCCAAGUUGUCCUUGGCUAUGGCAAGGGAAGGAGAGCGGCUCCUCCACUUCGUCAGGUGUCCGGUGGGCUCUUGUCUGUAUGUUUCCCCAGGGAUCUCCAGCGGUUGGAGGUUCCUGGUUAGUAAUGGAGCUGAUACAUCUCAUCAACAAGGAUGUGCAGACACUAAGAUGAACAGAGAAGCAAACCUACUUACUCAGAUAGCUUCAAGUUAUAUUUGUUUUCCUCUCAAUGGUUUACUCAUUAAAAGUUGAGUUCCUGUGCCAAUGUUGGCAGUACACGAGGCAUGGACAUUCUCUCCGCAGACAAUUGCUGGUGGUCUGAGUGACUCACCCUACACUCUCACCUCCUCCUGGUUCUGCCCUUGGCGCCUGGUCUUGGGAGGUUUGCAUUCUUGUAGUAAUCUCGGGCUGCUGCCCGGGGCCAGGGGCAAAAACAACAGGACUCUCUCCAGGGCAUUUGGGAGUGAGCCUCAUUGUCUGGUCCUUGCUUUGACUGUUGAUUGCAUGAGGCUUGGGGGAGGGUUUCCCAAAUAAGGAGACUGGAGCGGCCUCUUGGUUGGGGAUGCUCCUGACCUCCUCAGCAGUGGGCUGGAAAUAUUUACAUAGACACAUUUCACAUUUUAUCUGUCCUUUGGCUGGGCAUGUAGAACAUUCCAGCUAUACUAACUUCUUUCACUUCUGCCCUUUAUCCAUAGUAAAGCCAGGUCGAGGCACUGAUACUUGAUUAGUGACUUUGGCAUUGCUUGCACACCUUGUUGUGCCAGGAACACACUAAAGAUGGAUUUGACAAGAAGCAGAGGUCGUGGGCGGGGAGGCUCUGACAGCUCCCAGAGGAGCUGCCUAGGGGGUUUUGUCAGGACAGCUCCUCCUCCUCUACAGCUUUGCCGUGUUUGUGUGGGAGUUCAGUUCAACAACAACUGUGGAAGCACCUACUCCAUAGCAGGCACCAUUCCUAAGUGGCUACGGGGGAUACCAAGGCUAAUGGAAUUCUGUCUUUGCCUUCAAAGAGCUCGGAAUCUUGUUGGGGGAUCUGACUCCAGGAAGCUCUUCAGGUGGUCUUUGAAGACACUUGCUCCAAAUGGAAAUUUCCAGGAUGCCAAAUAAGAAGGUUCCCCACAUUCUAUGAAUGCCAAGAGUGUGCAAAGCUCCCACCCGGGGUGCAGGUGCUUGGGCCCGCCCCCAGGUCCGUCAUUCCCAGUCUGUGGCUCUCCACCAUAGCAGCGGGAGAUGGUCCAGGACAACCCAUUAUCUCCAGCCUCCAGUGGAUCUGCAGCCCACAUUUGUGUUCGUGGAACUUAAGGAGGAGAGAAUUGAAGAAGAGGCAGCAAGACGUGUCUUUGGUGACCCAGAGGGGCAGAGAAUAUAAACCACACCAUGCAGUGUUGACCAGGGCAAGCGCAUGCCCUUGAGACUCCAUGAAGGUCAAGGAUGCCUGUUGUACUAUAAGCCAUUGUAUGUGACAGAAAUGGGAAACCCAGCUGCAGAAUGACAGUGAAUGCUUUUCCUCUAUUUUUAUUUAAAAGCUAACACAUCAGGUAAAUAUUUAAGCAUUAUGAACAGUCUAGGGAAAGGAAAGAGGUGCAUAAAUGUAUCUGUUUUUUCCUUUAGCAAAUGAGAACAUUAUGUGUAUUCUCCAGCAAUCUUUUUGCUCUUCUGGUAUGAAAGAGAGGGAUGAUCCUGGAAGGUUGAGGGACCUGGGAUGGGGGCAGAGCUGACACUUGGAGUUCUCUGAAGUAACCAUUUACUUGAAUCUUGUUGAAUGGAUGAGGAAGCGCAGGCUCCAAGAUGUUGUCCAUGGGCGGCAGAAGAGAAGGUGGAUGUCAUUUGACUUAGAAUUUGAACUCAAGCAUAUCAGGUGCCUAAGCCGAGCUUUCCCCACUCCUCCGUCCUCACUCUCGUCCUCUGAGGUCACUGGGAUGAAGACUGAGCCGCAGGCAGGACCCUGCACUCAAAUGCGUAGCCUAGGAGGCAGCACAGGGAGUGUUCGCACUUCGGUGGGGAGAGGGAAAUCACACAGGAAGUGAUGGGGGUUCUGUUCUCAGUGCUGAGAAAGGAGGGCGGGUGCGCAGUGACAGGGGAGCUGCUGCAGGGUAGGGCCCAAGACCCUUGGCAUGGGUCGGGAUGGCAGACUCCGAUGGGAGCCCAUAGCUGGAGCUGGUCAGCGUGUUGGGAGAAUGGUUCCCACCUUCUAAACAGCUCCCCUCUACUGUGGGAAAUGCAUUUCCUGUGCCUCAGACAUCAGAUGGGGCUUUCCUGGCCGGCUCUCCCUGAGCCCUGGGUGAACGCUGGAGCAAAGCCAGCCAGAGGACGCAGCCCUCCUGGCUUCUGUGGGGUUUUACCGUGUCCAUGGGGCUGAAUUGGAGACAACCAGAUGCCUACCUGAGAUUUUUUUUUUCCUCCAAGGGACAGCAGAGAGGAUUUGUAGCUUCUGCUCUGAGGAGGGGGCUGUGGGCUGGUGUUGUUGGCAGCCAUUUUGCUUUUUCCAUAAGCGGCCUUGUGUAGGGGCCAGUGCCGUGGCAUAGUGGGUGGAGUCUCCACCUGCGAUGCCAGCAUCCCUUAUGGGUGCUGGUUCGUGUCCCGGCUGCUCCACUGCCAGUCCAGCUCUCUGCUAGUGACAGGGGAAAAGCAGCAGCAGAUAGCCCAACUGCUUUGGUCCUUGCACCCAUGUAGGAGACUCGGCUGAAGCUCCUGGCUCCUGGCUUAAGCCUGUUGUGGCCAUCUGAGGAGUCAACCAGUGGAUGGAAGAUCUGUGUGUGUGGUUGUCUCCUUCUCUCUCUGUAACUCUGCCUUUCAAAUAAAUAAAUCAAUCUUAAGAAAAAUACAUUCAUGCAUAUGAAUGAUGGUGAAUUACUGAGCUUUCCUGAGCUUUUUUCUUGUGCAUUUUUAAAAAUUUAUUUUAUUUUAUUUGCAAGACAGAGUUAUAGAGAGAGGUAGAGGCAGAGAGAGAGAGGUCUUCCAUCUGCUGGUUCACUCCCAGAUGACUGCAAUGGCCGGAGCUGCGCCGAUCUGAAGCCAGGAGCCAGGAGCCAGGAGCCAGGAGCUUCUUCCGGGUCUCCCACGUGGGUGCAGGAGCCCAAGGACUUGGGCCAUCUUCUGCUGCUUUCCCAGGCCACAGCAGAGAGCUGGAUCGGAAGUGGAGCGGCCGGGCCUAGAACUGGCGCCCAUAUGGAUGCUGGCGCUUCAGGCCAGGGCUUUAACCUGCUGCGCCACAGUGCCGGUCCCGUUGUGCUUUUUAAGUGUUCUACAUGCGACUGUGAGUUUGGUUUCUGAAGCGAUAAUCUGUGUGGCGUCUCUGUUUCUCUGGGUUGCUGCAGAGUCACGUGCAUCCUGAGUGUGGCCAAGCCCUCCUGCUUCGGGAAUUGUCUCUGUCACCUACAGAAGCAGCCCCAGGGGACCUUGCUGCUGGCUCUCUGACGUUUCACUUGGCAGUGACACGUUUUCCUCGCGUGUGGAACAGUUCUGCCUUCUGCUGUCCACCUUCACUCCCUGCCCUCAUCAAUCUGAAAUGCAGUGGUAAUAGUCUGUUGGGUGGGCUUUCAUUCCGCCUUUUAUGUUUUCACUCAACCAUUUCCCUAGAACCAAGCGAGCAAAUGUUCUGCACGGGGGCUUCAAGCGCGGUGGCUCAGAGGGCUUGGACAGAGGCAGUGAGUCGGGGACAGCGGAUGCCAGUGAGCCCUCUACCUGUGCCCAGACCUCCUGAUAAUCCAGGAACUCCCACGGAGGGGAUGCCACAGGUGGUGGUGCAGAGCCAGCAGCUGCUUUGUCUCCGGAUUUUAUUUUAUUUUUAAAGAUGUACUUAUUUAUUUGAGAGAGAUAGAGACAGAGAGACAGAGACAGACAGAGAAUCUUCCAUACCCAAAUGGCCUCAAUAACCAGGACCAGGCCAGGCUGAAGCCAGGAGCCAGGAGCCAGGAGCCAGGAGCCAGGAGCCAGGAGCCAGGAGCUGUCUUUUUUUUUUUUUUUUCCCCCAAACACGAAUGACCACAGCUUAGAUGUUAAGCAGGUGUGGGUGCGUCACAGCAGUGGAAGGCUGUGAACAACAUAGAGAACUCAUGUUUGCAUCCUGCACGAGCUCUCUCGAGCGUCCAAGCAGGAAGGGACCCAGGGAGCUCCUAGUCCGAGGCACUCAGACUGUGCCCCCGGGUCCCUGGGCUUCCCUGCAGGUGCUUCUGGGUCUUCCUGGGGAGGAUGGAGGGAAGCCAGACGGAGGGUUCUUUUCCAGCCAGAUCACCUCCAGUUUCAUAUGAGCUCUCUCUGAGCUUGGUACUCUUGUAACAGUUAAUUCAGGAUGAGAAGAUGGGAAAGGUGUAUGCUGUCAAAUUAGGUUUAAAAUUACUUGUUGAGUCAAAAUUCAGUUUCACAAUCACCUGUCUAUUCAGACACUCUUAUUCUAUCAUAAGGAAGCUGACAUCCAUCAAAGUCCAAAGUGGUAGACAACAACUGAGUUUUCCAGCACCCUCUCUUCCUGUUUUCACUAUAUUGUCAUUAGGCAUAACAAUUAGUGCUCUGUUUCCUCAGAGAGAAGGAAUUUCUGCCACUCAUCUCUGCAAGACUAGAUCUCUUUGGAACAACUCACUAACCACACAAUGCAAUGGGCUCUGGGCCCCACUCACAGAGAAGAAGUUAGAAUAAAGCCCCAAAUUCCAGAGAUCUGUGGGCUUCAGGUUUGGCUCGAUCUGGGCUCUCAUUCUCUUCCAUGGGUUAACUUAGUCUGGUUCCCCACAUGACAGUUACCUGUGGAGACAAGCAUGAGAAUCAUGAAAUAACCCUUCCCUUUGCUCUGAUUGGAAUAUCCAUGAACUGACAAUUGUUCAAGCUCUCUUUGCUUCGGAGGACAGCUGCCGUGGGUGGGUUCUCGCUGUCUGCUUAUUCGCGGUUUUAACAGUCUCUUUCACUUAGCUGUCUCCUAUGAGCUAGUGCCACUUUCCUUACUUUUGUAUCCCUCCUUUAUUGGUAAAGCAUUACCCGAGUUCUUUCUUCUAUGGCCUCCUGAGUCCAGGGUUCCACAAUUAUGUCCCCUUAGUACUGACUCCAGAUUGGACUUUGUUCACCUGAAAACCCGAGUGGAAAUAGCUCAGGUUUUGCAGCCUUCUUCAAAGAGACCUGAAAAUUGUGGUCUUCGUGUCUUCUACUCGAUGAGGCUGAGGUUCUCUUCUGUCUGCAGCAUUUUUUUUUUUAAAGAUUUAUUUGUUUAUUUGAAAGUCAGAGUUACAGAGAAGCAGAGAGAGAGAGUGAGAGCGAGAGCGAGAGUGAGCAAGCGAGAGAGAUCUUCCACCUGCUGGUUCACUUCCCAGAUGGCUGAAAUGGUCAGGAAUGGGCCAGGCUGAAGCCAGGUCCCUGGAGCUUCCUUCACAUGGGUGCAGGGGCCCAAGUACUUGUGCCAUCUUCUGCUGAUUUCCCAGGCCUUAGCAGAGAGCUGGAUGGGAAGUGGAGCAGCCGGGACUCAAACUGGUGCCCACUGCAGGCAGCAGCUUUACCGCUAUGCCACAGCGCCCACUCCUCUGCAGCAGUUUUGACCAUCCUCUGUGGACGACUGAGACAGGGAGGUGACUGAGACAGUGAGUCAGGGAUGCACAGAAGCGUGAAGAGCCCGAGAGUGCGCUGAGGCUGCUCCGAGCAGUGAAUGUCAACAUGUCUCUGGCCUCAAAUACUGUGUUUGCAGCUCCUCUGCAUCUCCGGCCGGGGGGAGGGGAGAGGGGGUCUGGUCCAGACAGCAAGCUUUUGGACCAUCCUUGAGCUUUCUCUUUUGUCUGGAGUAGUAGCAGUCCCUUGGAUCUAAAUGGGCUGUGUCUUUGCUUCUAAGGACAAGGCACAGGGAAAAGCUGGCCUGGGGCUGGUGCCGCGGCUCAAUAGGCUAAUCCUCUGCCUGCGGUGCUGGCACACUGGGUUCUAGUCCCGGUUGGGGCACCGGAUUCUGUCCCGGUUGCCCCUCUUCCAGGCCAGCUCUCUGCUAUGGCCAGGGAGUGCAGUGGAGAUGGCCCAAGUGCUUGGGCCCUGCACCCCAUGGGAGACCAGGAGAAGCACCUGGCUUCUGGUUUCGGAUCGGCGCAGUUCCCCAGCUGCAGCGCGCCGGCCGCGGCGGCCAUUGGAGGGUGAACCAAUGGCAAAGGAAGACCUUUCUCUCUGUCUCUCUGUCUCUCACUGUCUAACUCUGCCUGUCCCAAUAAAUAAAUAAAUAAAUAAAUAGCUGGCCUGGGGGAAAGGAACACGUCCAUAGGUGUGAGAUGGUGAGGACGGGGUGGGGGUGAGGGGAGAAAAAAGGCUGAGAGCGGCCCCAGCAGAGGACUUUGCAGUGUCUAGCUCCCUAGGGUGUAUCAGGAGAGGAUAAAGGGGAAAGGGAGACAGACUGAGCCUCUUGGAGGGUUUUGAGGAAUAUCUCACUCAAAACAUGACCCAGUUGUAAUUUUAUUUGCAGGAUGUUAAACCAAUAAAUCAAAAGAAGGAAAACAAUAGAAGCAACAGUUUGUAUAGCAGUGUGUAUAAAUCUGUAGCGAAUACUGUAUUUGCUGUAAUAGCAGAAAUGAAAAGCACUCUGAAUGUUCAAGGACAGAGAAACCAUAAAGCAAGCCGGGCCAUCAGCACAAUGCAGUCUUAAGGGAUCUGCUGUGUGAAAGAAUGAGGUCUCUUAGAAGCCUGUGGAGGCUUACAGAGGUCUCUAGCCCUAAGUGCCUGUGUGAACUUGCAUUUGAAUGAAUUGAAAUGAGAUAAGAUAAAAAAUGCAGUUCCUCAGUGGCCCAGCCCCACUUCAAGUGCUCCCGAGCCACACGGUGGCCAGCAGCUACCAUCCUAGCAGGAGUGGCGAGCAUUUUUGUCAUCACAGGAAGUUUUAUUGGCCAGGCCUGCUCUGGAAGGCUGGGCAAGUGUUCACACAUGGCUGUCGCAAUGAAACAAAAAAGUUAUAUGGCAAGCAGCACGUGUGCUGAUUAUAGCAAUGUAAAAUGUAUGCAUCCGCGUAGAUAAAGAUCAGUCAAGAUCAGGAAGCAUUAAGAUUCUUGCUACCAGGGAAAUGAACUCACAAGAUGGAUCUACAAGUUUCCUCUUCGUGUGGUCCAGAGUUCCAUUGCUGACACACCAAGUUCUGGGGAGCAGCCUGCAGGAAGCCAGUUGUAUCUGCAGAUCCUGGGCUAAACAGAGAAGGCAUCUGCUGGCUCUGUGUGCUUGCAGAGUCCCGCCAAGGCACUUGGCUUCUUUUGUUGCAUGGUCUCCCAGGUCCCUUCCUACGUGAAGAAACGGCAGUGCUUGUUUUCACGCAGAGAGAAUGCUGCUCACGGGAAUGGAGUGACAGGAAUGAGGUGUCGGGUAGUGGGGUGAUCAGCAGGGUCUGGUGACCGCAGUAGAGCCUGGGCUCCAAUGGCAGAUUCCAGGGAUGAAGGCGAAGUGGACGGGAUCCUCAGGAAGGGAGAAUCUGACCAGUGAUAAAAUGGAGAAUUUGUAUUCCAGACACCCAAGGCCUACCAGGAAUAUGCAUCUCUGUUUAUAGAAUGCUAAAAAUGACUUUUGCUGGCAUUGUGGCACAGCAGGUUAAGUGAAGCAAGCAUCCCGUAUCAGAGCCAGUUUGAGUCCCAGUUGCUCUGCUUUUUUUUUUUAUUUAAGAUUUAUUUUUAAAUAAAUAAUUUUUUAAAGAUUUAUUUUUAGGGCCGGUGCCGCGGCUCACUAGGCUAAUCCUCCGCCUUGCGGCGCUGGCACACCGGGUUCUAGUCCCGGUCGGGGUGCCGGAUUCUGUCCCGGUUGCCCCUCUUCCAGGCCAGCUCUCUGCUGUGGCCAGGGAGUGCAGUGGAGGAUGGCCCAAGUGCUUGGGCCCUGCACCCCAUGGGAGACCAGGAGAAGCACCUGGCUCCUGGCUUCGGAUCAGCGCGGUGCGCCGGCCGCAGCAUGCCAGCCGUGGUGGCCAUUGGAGGGUGAACCAAUGGCAAAGGAAGACCUUUCUCUCUGUCUCUCUCACUGUCCACUCUGCCUGUAAAAAUAAAUAAAUAAAUAAAUUGUCGCUCCCCCUCUUCGUGGAGGAGCAACACUAAACCCUGCCUAGGCUUCAUAUCCGAGUCACGGCACCAUUAUGUCGCUCCCCCUCUUCAUGGAGGAACGACACAGGACCCUGCGCUGUUCUUUCGUCUGCUCGGCCCUUCCCGGGUUUGCUGCUGGUUCUUCCCGGGUUGGCUACCGACCCUUCCACCUCCGUGGAAGGGCGGUUCCCCCUGGCCACUUUCCCCACUUCCGCAGGGGAGCAGCACACCGCUGGCCGGCUCUCUCGGGGGUUGCACAGGUGUUCCCCUUAGAUGUUCCCCUUAGAUGUUCCUGGUGCAUGCCGUCUCUCUCCUCCUUUAUAGUCCUCCUCCGCCAAUCCCAACUCGGCUGCCCACACGCCGAGUACGCUGCUCUCCUCCAAUCAGGAGCAAGUCCUACAGUUUAUUGGCUGAACUGGAGGCAGCUGUGUAGAAGCUGUUUUCUUCUCUCCCAGCGCCAUAUUGUGGGAGAGCAGAUGCAUAGAAUAAGUCUUAAUUCCAGUAACAGUCUAGUCCGAGUUGCUCCCCACAAUAAAUAAAGAUUUAUUUUUAUUUAUUUGAAAGAGUUAGAAAGGUAGACAUAGAGAAAAGUCUUCAAUCCACUGGUUCACUCCCCAAAUGGCUGCAAUGGCUGGAGCUGCGCCCAUCUGAAGCCAGGAGCCAGGAGUUUCUUCCGGGCCUCCCACAUGGGUGCAGGGGUCCAAGGAUUCGGGCCAUGUUCUUCUGCUUUCCCAGGCCACAGCAGGGAGCUGGACUGGAAGUGGAGCAGCUGGGACUCGAACUGGCACCCAUAUGGGAUGCCAGCACUUCAGGCUGGGGCUUUAACCCGCUGCACCACAGCGCUGGCCCCUGCUCUGCUUUUGAUCCAACUCCCCUAAUGGACAGCAGCAGCAGAUGGCCCAAGUACCUGGGCCCCUGCCGCCCAUGUGGGAGACCCGGAUGAAGCUCUAGGCUCCUGGCUUCAGACUGGCCCAGCCCUGGCCAUUGUGCGCAUUUGGGGAGUGAACCAGCAGAUGGAAGAUCUUUCUCUCUUUUUCUCUCUCCUUCUCUCUCUCUCUCUCUGAUGCUCUGCUUUUCAAAUAAGUAAAACAAAUUUUUAAAGAUAGAAGAUGACUUUGAACUGUACCUAGGUGCACCUGGAAAUGGAGCAGAGAAGGUCCCAGCUCUGUCUGGGUCCUCAGAAACCCCACCCCCUCCUCCUCCGGCGGCUGUAGUUACAGGUGGGUCACUAAAUGCCCUCCCGCUGGCUCCUUAGUAUCGCUCUGGAGUAGAGCAAGUCUUUCAUUUGUUCCACUACUUUUCAGGUGUCAGAUCAUAAAAUCAUACUUCUUGAAAAUCACUUAUUCCAGAACAUUUCCUCUGCGAAUGGAUUUUACAGUUACAGCAUUUUAUCUAAAUCAUUUCACAUGUCUUUUUCAAGUUUGAAGACUUCUUUAUAUACUUUUCUGUUAAACAUUGCACGGGGAAAUGUUUCUACUAAAUAAUGCUAUCGUCCACCUUAUGAUUUCUGAUGUGUAACAAAGACAUUCACCUGCCUUUGAGAUGGAUCAUAUGUAUGGCAGAGGGCUUUGCUGUUUAUACUUUUGUUGCACACUUAAAUGAUGCCAAUCUCUUCUGGUAAAACCUUUUAGUAAUGCAAAAAAUAAGCAUGAGGUGUGUGUGUGUGUGUGUGUGUGUGUGUGUCGCGCGCGCGCGCCCAAACUACAGCUUCACUGGAUAAUGAGCUACUUACUCUCUGCAUGCCUUGUGGGAAAUCAACAUUGCAAAUUCAUAGACCUGUCUGCCAGGAAUCUUAGAACCAAGUGGACAUGUGUGUUGAUCAUUUCUGGAUAGCUCCCAAAUUAGAAGGAUAUUGGGUCCCAGAAGUGUGUUUUAAAGCCAAUGGCACAGAACUCAAAAAGCUGUUUCAUUAUAGAAGUUAUAUAUGUUUAGUAUACACCCUCCCAAAGCAAUGGGCUCUCUGGAUGUAACUGCAUUUAGUGUAGUUUAACUCAGUUUACCAAUACACUCAUGGCUUACCUUGUCGGGAACUAGAAUUGGAAAAUGCGCAAGGUGUUCCUUGCUCUCAGGCAGCCCAGAGUCUUGUAGGGAAGGCACGUGGUAAGCACGUGACUGCCAGCAGGCACAGCCAUGUGCAGCAGCUCCGGAGUCUCCAUGGAGGGCACCCUCCAUGUGUGCCGACACGGCCUGGACUCACUGUCCAUGAUGGAGCUCUGACAGAGGAAGAAGAAGGAUCUGUCUCUUCCUCUUCCCAUCUGCUGAGUGGGGAAUGCUGAGUAACACCAGCUCCACGGCCCAGAGCAAAAGACAAAUGACUUGUCAAACCAGGACUUCCUGCCAGGGCCGCUCUGUGGGCUGGCUUCCUGCUUCUUCCUUUCCAGGAAGGCCAGCUUGAUCUUCUUCCACUGACACCACCAGUGAUGACUUUUUUUUUUUUUUUUCCAUCCUGGCUCCUUGUGCAUUUGAGAGUAGCCCAAGGAACCCAUUCAGAGCUUCUCACUGCCCGAGGGAUGAAAACCUAACCUCCCUUGUGGACUGUUCGGCAGCCACCCCUCAGGCAUCCCCACAGCCUUCUGGCGUGGUUCCUAGACAUGCCACACCCCAGUCUUUCCACCAAUCUCCUGGACACAACAGUCAGCCCUCCAUGAAGAUAUCACCCAGGAGUCCCACAUCUGUAGAGUCCACAAACUGGAUCAGAGACAUUGUGGAAGAACAAACGCAGGUGCACUGGACAUAUGUGGGUUUCAUUUUCUUGUCAUUAUUCCCUAGACAAUACAGUGUCACACCUAUUCAGGUAGCGUAUGAGAUAGUAUAAGUAGUGUAGUCUAGCGAUGACUGAGUGUAGUAGGAGAAUGCGUGCACGUUGUGUGCAAGUUUUAUGCCAUUUUAUGUGAGGGACCUGAGCAUCAUGGGUUUUGGUAUCCUGGAGGGAGUCUGUAAUGAAGCCCCUGGGGUACCCAGGGACAGCUGCAUCCUCUUCCUCUGGCUGCUCGCACUCUCCCUGCCACGCUGGGCCUGCUGGGAAGGGCAGUCUUCGUUUUCUCAGGGGGAGACGAGGUGCUCCCAGAUGACGGAGGACCCCCUGAGCUUAGCGCUCAUCGACUUCAGAGUGACUGUGCCCUUCGCUGCAUCCCCCUGUGAGUUGCAGAGGGAGGGCACAGCCCACAUCUGCUGGCUCAGCAGACACGACUGUACUCCUAGGACCUGGCCAUGCUCUGCUGCACGCAGAGCCAGCCGCACGGCUGGGGGCCUGUGCAGUCACACGGGGAGUCACACUCAGAAAGGCGGGGUUAGUGCCGUCACCAUCUAGAAAAUGCUUAGCUUUUGCUCAAAAGCCCUCAUAUUCUCAUUUUGCACUGACCCUCACAUAUUAUGAAACUGAUUCUAUGUGGCAGAAUAAAUAAAGAGUGGAGGUAUAUAUUUACAUAUAUAUAUAUCAGACCAUAAAAUAUGCUGAAUUAAACAAUUAAGGCUUCUGAAGUUGUCAUUUUAAACAAGAUAAAAUGAUUUAGGAAAAAAUUGCAAUAUAGGCUAUAGACGUCAUAAUGUUCUGUUUUUCAGAUGUUGUUUGUUCAUGUGAGAAAAGAGAAUCCACUCUAUGUGAUGUAUUUUGAAUCAGAAUUACACCUUAUUCAAUCACAACCAUUAUGACUGAAAAAACAGAGUGGCUGGCGCUGUGGCAUAGUGAGUAAAGCUGCUACCUGUAGUGCAGGCAUCCCAUAUGGGUGCCAGCUCAAGACCUGGCUGCUCCUCUUCCAAUCCAGCUUUCUACUAUGGCCUGGGAAAGCAAUAGAAGAUGGUCCAAUUGUCCACCUGCAUGGGAGACCCGGAAGAGGCUCCAGGUUCCUGGCUUCGGAUCAUCCCAGGUCUGGCCAUUGUGGCCAUUUGGGAAGAUCUCUCUCUCUCUGCCUCUGCCUCUCUCUAACUCUGUCUUUCAAAUAAAUAAAUCUUUAAAAACAAAACAAAACAGAAAAUGGGGCCAGAAUGAUUUAGUUUGACAUGUGCUUCACUCAUUAUAAUUGGAAAGACAGACAUAACUUCUUCAAAAAGAAAUUCUGCAAAUAGUAAAUGCUGCCUAGGUUUCUACCUUGAUAGGGUGAAUGAAUAUCAUUGGGGCCAGGUGCUGUGGCGCAGUAGGUUAAUCCUCCACCUGUGGCACUGGUAUCCCAUAUGGACGCCGGUUCUAGUCCUGGCUGCUCCUCUUCCAAUCCAGCUUUCUGCUGUGGCCUGGGAAAGCAGUAGGAGAUGGCCCAAGUGCUUGGGCCCCUGCACCCAUGGGAGACCAGGAAGAAGCUCCUGGCUCCUGAUCGUGCAGCUCUGGCUGUUGUGGCCAUUUGGGGAGUGAACCAACAGAAGGAGGACCUUUCUCUCUGUCUCUCCCUCUCCUGUCUGUAACUCUACCUCUCAAAUUAAAAAAAAAAAGAAUAUCAAUGGAUAUUCACAUGAAUCAUGGGGCUGAUGCUACAGCACAGCUGAUUAGGCCACCAUCUGCAGUGCCAGCAUCCCCUAUGGGCACUUGUUCCCAUCCUGGCUGCUCUUCUUCUGAUCCAGCUCCCUGCUAAUGCGCCUGGGAAAGCAGUGAAAGAUGUCCUAAGUCCUUGGUCCCUUGCACUUAAGUGGGAGACCCAGAAGAAGCUCCUGUCUCCUGGCUUUAGAUCAGUGCAGCCCCAGCCAUUGUGGCCAUUUGGAGAGUGAGCCGGCAGAUGGAAGAUCUCUCUUUCUCUCCCCCUACCUUUGUAACUUUGUAUUUCAAAUAAAUAAAUAAAUCUUAAAGAAAAUUAGUCUCAAAGGGAAAGUAUGUGGGUUAUGGAGCUUCUAUUCUUGAUACCAAGAAUGACAUUCAAAAGGGUAUUUCUGGGCUUUGAGUUUUUUUUUUUUUUAAAGAUUUAUUUACUUACUUGAAAGGCAGAGUUACAGGAGAGGCAGAGGCAGAGGCAGAGGCAGAGAGAGAGAGAGAGAGAGAGAGAAAGAGAUGUCUUCCAUCCACUGAUUCACUCCACAAAUGGCUGCAAUGGCCAGAGCUCUGCCAAUCCGAAGCCAAAAGCCAGGAGCUUCUUCCAGGUCUCCCACGUGGGUGCAGGGGCCCAAGCACUUGGGCCAUCUCCUACUGCUUUCCCAGGCCAUAGCAGAGAGCUGGAUUGGAAGUGGAGCAGCCAGGACUCAAACUGGUGCCCAUAUGGGAUGCUGGCACUUCAGGCAGCGGCUUUACCCACUAUGCCACAGUGCCGGCCUGGCUUUGGGGUUUUAAACUCUCCAAAGAGAUCUUCUGGGAAGCUGUGUGACAGCAGUCCGGGGAGUCCAGUCAGUCUGGGCUGCGGUGACAAAAUACCGCAGAAACCAGGCUGGAGGCUGCAAGGCUGAGACCUGGCACCAGCACAGGCCGUGUCUGAGGAGGGCCCCCUCCUCCCAGACAGCAGCUUGUCGCCGCGUCCUCCGUGGUGGGAGGCAUGGUGGCCUUCCCUCAGUCUCUUGUAGGGACACGGAUCCCAUUCACGAGCGCUCCACCUGCCGGACCUCAUCACCCGCUGAUGACCUGGCUUCCGGUACCACUCAGCCUGUGAGGUGGGGGGCAGAGGGGGCGACCCGUCAGACCAUAGCGGCGCAUCCUGAUUGAUGUGUCAGCGUCUCAGAGCCACCGCCGCCCUCUUUAGCAAGGGGACAGUGACCGUCUCUGUCACCUUUGAUGGACUGUGGGGAGGACAGCACAGGUCAGGGAGGACAGUGGGAAAGUGAGUUCCAGCACAGUGGGGCCUGGGAAUCCCUGCCAUUUGGGAAGUGGAAUGUUCCUCCGUUCUGUGAAUCAGGGGACCAGAUCCAGUCAAGACAAGCCGAUCGCCUGCUGCAUGAUUUGCCUACCCCAGGCCUCAGCUUUAUUGUCUGAGAAGCAGGACGUGGAUAAUGGGGGGGCUGUCUCUCCAGCACCCCCACCCCACUGCAGCAGCUUCCCUUCCCUGCUCCCAGCAGCGUGGAACCUCCUUCCUGAUGUCUUGCACGGGCCAUGCUGUGGUCUUCGUUCCUGUGUCCUGAUGAAUACGCUCCCCCCACCCCCAUUUCCUUGAUUCCUCUCCCUAACGCCGAUUCUCCCUGCAGGAGCUAAACUCCACCCUGCAGAAAGCCUUCUGUGGCUGUGCCCUCUGCAUUCUGCCCAGCCGAGCUUCCAGACCCUCGUGUGUUCCCACAGCCUGUGCUUUGCUCCGUCCUAGUUCCCUGUACACUGGACGGUCAGCGGCUGUUUCUUGUUUGUUGCCCAGGAGUCUCAGGGGUCUUGGAGGACUCCACCUCUUCAACAUCUAGGACAGUCACUGGGACAUAAGUGUUCAAUUACUACUUGAGGGAGGAACGAGGGAGGAUGGAAGGCCUUAUUCUCCCUCAGUUGUCCUUUAAUUUUUUUAGGAAGAUUUAUUUUAUUUAUUUGAAAGGCAGAGUUAGAGAGAGACAGAGAGAGUCCGACAGACAUGUAGAGAGAGGCCUUCCGUUUGCUGGUUCACUCCCUAAAUGGCUACAAUGGCCAAGGUUGGGCCAGGACAAAGCCAGGAGUCAGCAGCUUCCUCCAGGUCCCCCAUAUGGGUGCAGGGACCUGGGCCAUCCUCUGCUGCUUUCCCAGGUGCAUUAGCAGGGAGCUGGGUCAGAAGUGGAGCAGCUGGGACACGACCCGGCGGCCAUAUGGGAUGCUGGCAUUGCAGGCGGUGGCUUAACACGCUACACCACAGCAGCAGCCCCGCAGUGGUCUUUCAUAAAGCAAGGCACAGUGGAUAUGGAGGGAGGGCCAAGUGGUGGAGAUUUGGGCUGGUGGGGGAAAGGUCUGACUGCUGCUCAGACGGUGCCUCUGCUGGGCUGGGACUCCAGCUAGCCUGACUCAUGGUAUAAUUGCGGAGAGUAGCAACAGGAAGCAUCAGGAAGCUCCUUAGGGUUUAUGGACUUCCUCUGCAUUUGCCAGGAUCUCCAUAUCCCAUGUUAAUGGUUUGGCAGUGGGCAGUGGAGGAAGGGGUCAUUUCUCCCGCUCCGUGGAGCUGCUGCAAGGUUGCCUGAGUGCAGAGGCUUGAUCUCCCGGCUUGGCUGGAGAGCGGUGCCACCGUGGAGGUCACGUGCUCAGCAGACAGUGCUGGUGCUGGCCCAGGAACGCUGCAGCCAUACACGGGCUUGGCCUCGGGAGCUCACAGAGAGCCGGACAUAGCAGGGCAGUGGGACGACAAUGAGGCGACCUUCCCCCUUGGGAUCCAAACAGCCAAAUAAGCCCAAUCCUUGCUUUUCCAGAAGUGCAGAUGUCAAGGUGAUAUUAGAAAUGUCUUCAUGAAUUGAAUCCUUUUCACAUACAUCAUCUUCAGACCUCAUAGAAGCUCAUGAGUUAAGUAUGAGGGUAUUUCAAAAAGUUCAUGGCAAAACUGAAUUAAAAGAUAAGGUUAAGGGUGAGCAUGUAGCCUAGUGGUUAUGGUUCCUGUUAAGAUGCCCACAGCCUGUGGGUGUUGGUGGUGGCUCAAGUGAUUGGGUUCUUGCCAGCACAUGGGAGACCCCGCCAUCGUAGGCAUUUGAGAAGUAAACCUGUGUACAGGGGAAAUCAUCUUUUUCUUUCUCUCCAUGCCUCUCAAAUAAGUAAUAAUUAGUUAAUUUUAGAGAGAAAAAUGUUUGGAUUUUGAUGCAAAAAAAUUUUAAAUCUUGUGUAGUUUUUUUAGAUUAAAUAUUUUUCCAGGAAAUUUUUGAAGACCCUUUGUAUGCAUGGAUUUAAAAAACUUUGCAGCAAAAAUAAACCUAUCUUUUUGCUUCCAUUUUUCAUGAACUUUCAACAGUACCUUCAUAUAAUUGUGUUCUUUUCAGGAAAGAAAAGUUGGGUUUAGGGAAGUUAAGUCGUUUGCUUCAAGUCUCCCAAUUUUCCGGGGUGUCUUGGGGCCAGCACCGUUCAGAUCAUCCUUCUCUACACAGCUCUGCUCAGGGAUCACCCAUCUUCCAGGAGGAUUCAUGCUGAAGAAGCUGAUUCUAAGGCUCUCUCACACCCUGAAGUGCCUUUGAAACGAUCAAAGAGCAAGUUGGACUCAAUACACUGAAAUCAUAAGUGCAUGUUUUGCUUUUUGAUUCUUUGAAAAUUAGACUUCUGUGGAAGGCACGUGACAUGGUAGCAGCAGGCCUGGGCGUAAAGGCUGGGAGCUACAGCCCACGACGGGGGACUUGGAAAGAGAGCUUGAACUUGAUGUUCCCCUGGAAAAAUAGGAAGCCUCGGACCCUUCCAGAUGCCUUAGUAGGAUUUUUUGGUCUGGCUCCACUUUAUGGGAGUCCUGUGGACGCAAACGGAGAACUCCAUUACGCAUGCGAAAAGCUGAGACCAACCUUCUGGCCUCAGCUGCAACACCAAACACAGCACACAGCCCCUCACCUCCACCACACCUCAGAGCCUGAAAGUGACAUUCUUGACAAACUUAUCACACGUGAAAUCUGCUGCGCACACCAGUGAAUCGUGCCAGCAAGCCAGGUGUAACCAAAUCAGAUCUUUCAGCCUUGACUUCCAAGUGUGAGAACAAGGAGGUGCUGACGUAGGGGAACUGCAGCCCACGUGCCGUGCACCUGCCCUUUCAGACAGUGUGGAGCAUCGCUGGGGCCGCAGGCUGGAAUGAGGAGGCUCUGGGCCCGGUGACCAUCCGAGGUCUUGGGGACAGGCUUAGGGGAAGUCUGCUGGUGUUGAACUUCAGAAUUUCACCUGACUUCGGGGAGCUCCUGAUGGUUUCCUGGCCUUUUCCCUGCAAGAGUGGACGCUGAGUUCUGGUAUGGAUCAUCUCUGGUGCCAGAAAUGGCCUGUAUCCUGGCUGGUGGGACUCACGCCCCAGCUCAGGCCUCAAGCAGCAGCCUUGAUCCCGAUCUUGAACUUGGACUCUUCAUGAAUGCUCCUGGCACAAAGAACCCAGAGAAAGUCAUAGGCCAUGAAAUGACAUGAGAAUUUUGCCCAGGGUAAAAUUAUCUACAAGAAUCAACCUCAGGGCCGACGUUGUGAUGUAGCAGGUGAAGUUACUCUCGGCAUCCUAUGUGGGCCCUGGUUUGAGUCCCGGUUGCUCCACUUCCAAUCCAGCUCCCUACUAUGGCCUGGGAAAGCAGUGGAAGAUGGCCCAAGUGCUUCGGCCUCUGCAUCCCUGUGGAAGAUCUGGAAGAAGCUCCUGGCUCCUGGCUUAGACUGGUCCAACUCUGGCAGUUGUGGCAGAAGUGAGCCAGCAAAUGGAAGAUCUGUGCCCCCCCCCCGCCCCCACCGGCUGCCUCUCCCUCUCUAUGGCUCUUUCAAAUAAAUAAAUAAAUCUCUAAAAAAUAACUCCUGCAUUCUAAAGAGUGACAGAGUACCAGAAGGGUAUAGAAUGGCCACAUUAUAGGUGGAUUUUCUUAACAUUUUUUAAAGAGGUUUGAAUCUGUCCCCUCACUGUUGGAUCAAAGCCAUCACAGUUCUAAGCCAAACAGACUAUUGCUCUGAGCCUCUGCUGUUGUAGCUGAGUGUUUCCUCGACACUAGGCUUUGAGACGACCCUGCUCCUCUGGGAGGCCAUGAACCGGCCCCAUGGUGCUGCAAGCGGGAGGGAGGAGGCCACUUCCCCAUCCUUCGUGGUCAUCAUCCUUCUCCUGCUGAUCUUCUCGGCUGUCUUCAGGACACUGACAUUCAGGUGGCCUCUCUCCACUCUUGCCCUCUUCCCUGUCAGCUCUGUCCUAGGGAUUCUUCCAGAGAUGAAUAAGGCUGUGGCUUAGAGGAGCUACUCAUUCUGGAAUCCCAGGGUCUGGGAUGUGCACUAAGUGGGGCAAGAAUCUCCUGGAGGCUCCAAGCCUCCACUGCCUUUGUCACCCUGGGAAAUCAACAUCCGAGCUCUAGGGCUUCGCCUCUUCCAGUUCCAGGCACCAACUCCUGUCUCCUUUGGCUCUGGGGAAAUCCAGUCCAGCCCCUCCUGUUGGGGCCUUGUCUUCGUUUGCAAGGGCUGUCCUAAGAAAAUACUGGCAACAAGACGGCUUAAACCAUGGAAUUGAUCAUCUCGCAAACCAACCCCAGGGGUGUGAGUUCAAGACGUGUUGGGGCGGGUUCCUUGUGAGGGCUGGAAGGGAAGCGUCUGACCUUGGCCUCUCUGGCCUUUAGAGGGUGGUGGUCUUCUCCCUGUGGCUCUUCAUGGCCUCUUCUCUGUGUCCAAGUGUCCCCUUGUAUAAGGACAUGAGUCUCACUGGCUAAAAUCCUGUUGUAAGAACCUCACUUAACUGCACUGCCUCUGUAAAGACCUCAGCCUCAAUAAUGUCACAGGUGCUAGGGGUUAGGAUGUAAAAAAAUUCAACCCAUGACAGAUGCAAAACAUAGGAUGGGAAGACAAUGGGAGGUCAUAUGUAUAGAAAAAAGUACUUUUAAGAAUAUUAUUAGAUUCUCAGGAAAAUUGAGAAGAUGUUAGAGUUCCAGGCACUGGGCCUGGUGUUCCACAGGGCCCACUUUGGGAAACAGUGCCCUUAUUUGCAUUGUAUCCCAGUGGUCAAGCACCUUAGAUGCCGCCAUGUUGCCUGUGUGACAUGUGACAAUGGGUGAGUUACUUAAUCCCACACUCAUCUGUGAAAUCACAGUAUAUAUAUAUUUUUUAAGAUUCAUUUUAUUUAUUUGAAAGACAGAGUUACAGAGAGAGGUAGAGCCAGAGAGAGAGAAGAAAGGUUUUCCAUCUGCUGGUUCAUUCCCCAAAUGACCACAACGGCCAGAGCUGAGCUGAUCUGAAGCCAAGAAUCAGGAGUUUCUUCCAGGUCUCCCAUGUGGGCCAUCUUCCUUUGCUUUCCCAGGCCGUAGCAGAGAGCUGGAUUGGAAGAGGAGCAGCUGGGACUCAAACCAACGCCCUUAUGGGAUGCCGGCCCUGCAGGCCAGGGCUUUAAUCCACUGCGCCACAGCACUGGCCCCAGCCAGUAUAUUGUUUUAUAAGGAUACUUUGAGACAAUGAGGCAAAGUGCUUGGAAUAGUGACCAGAGUAUUAUAACCCCUCAAUAAGCAACAUUUGUUAUGAUUUUUUUCUUGUGUUCUUUUGGGCCACUUCUAAUUCUAUGGUCUACCAGUUGCAAGGUGGUUUCUUGUGAUAACCAAGGCCCCCGUGCCUGGCUCUCUGUGCAAACGUUUUAGACGACUUCCCUGUGAUCUCUGCUCUCACAUGAGUACGCACUAAAGCCCCUUUGUCAGAUUUUUGCUCAUUCCUGCAACCUUGGGAGGUUUUCCUGCACUUUAUUUCACACUUAAAUAGUGCCUCCAUUAAAAGAAAACCUCCGGCCAGCGCCAAAGCUCAUUGGGCUAAUCCUCCGCCUGCGGCUCCAGCACCCCAGUUUCUAGUCCCGGUCGGGGCGCCGGAUUCUGUCCCGGUUGCCCCUCUUCCAGGCCAGCUCUCUGCUGUGGCCAGGGAGUGCAGUGGAGGAUGGCCCAAGUCCUUGGGCCCUGCACCCGCCUGGGAGACCAGGAGAAGCACCUGGCUCCUGGCUUCGGAUCAGCGCGGUGCGCCGGCCACAGUGGCCACUGGAGGGUGAACCAACGGAAAAAGG